RNAcentral lists this microRNA (21 nucleotides) under Medicago truncatula (barrel medic). RNAcentral's name for it is "mtr-miR2592bi". Lineage: Eukaryota; Viridiplantae; Streptophyta; Magnoliopsida; Fabales; Fabaceae. The record is from miRBase by way of RNAcentral.
UGGAACAUUGGGAAUGCCGGU